CAGUCGCCGCGGUAAUACGAAGGGUGCAAGCGUUAAUCGGAAUUACUGGGCGUAAAGCGUGCGUAGGCGGUUUGUUAAGUCUGCUGUGAAAUCCCCGGGCUCAACCUGGGAAUGGCAGCGGAUACUGGCAAGCUAGAGUGUGUCAGAGGAUGGUGGAAUUCCCGGUGUAGCGGUGAAAUGCGUAGAGAUCGGGAGGAACAUCAGUGGCGAAGGCGGCCAUCUGGGACAACACUGACGCUGAGGCACGGAAGCGUGGGGAGCAAACAGGAUUAGAUACCCCUGUAGUCCCUGUCUCUUAUAC
This 301-nucleotide ribosomal RNA is filed under the name uncultured bacterium. RNAcentral's name for it is "partial 16S ribosomal RNA". It matches the Rfam family "Bacterial small subunit ribosomal RNA", at positions 509 to 807 of the family's 1533-position model. The record is from RNAcentral.